AAGAGGUUCAGCUGCAUGUGUCUGCAAUGAGAAAAGAGCUGUACUAAAAAGGACAGUCUUCUCACCUUCUUCACAAAUUAUUUCCUGUGAUUUUUUAUUCCUAUGAUUCAAGCAGCAAUGAAAAUAAGGAAAAAAACAGCUAUUUCUUACUAUUUUUAAAAGCAAGUCAAAAACCCAAGCCUUGUAUCUAACAAGUAGUACAACAGAACAGCAUCUUGGCUUUGCCUUCCCAGCCUGAAUCAACCAUACCAGCUCUCUGAAAUGCUUCAUGUAGAGCAUCCACCAUAUUCACUGGAAAACACUAGAAGUCCUGAUUGUGCCAGAUGCCCUGGCACCAGAGGGCCUUUGAAACCUUCUCCUGUUUCUUCAGCACCUGAUGGUGAUUGUUUGACUGGAGAUUUAUGGCUGGCCUGAAACUCAAAGCUUCCAAAGAGCUGAAGUUACAGAAGCUUGCAGUGAUGCUGAAUUCCCUGGAGUGGUGGUGCUAUUGUCAUCUGACGGCUGCUGAGCAGUGAAGUGAGAUGGUAAUUUCUGCAUUCCAGUGGUCGAGAGCUCUACCACCAAAAAUACCAACAGGACUCAAAAGAAAAAGCUGUUUAGAGAUCUUAUAUUCCAGACAUGUUUUGUGUAUGUUUGAGCUCUAACCGCAUCAGUGGCACUGCUGGUUUUAAGUGAGUAUCUCCUCUGAUAGUUUAUCACAGGCAUAAGAACUUAUAGAAUGGAGAUUCAGUUACUUAUCUCUGGGGGGAAGCAGCCAGGAAACCAUGAUCAGGAAAGAAAAGAGACUUCUGCACCUGCUCUCAUCCCAUCAGCACUGAGAACUGACAAAGCCAAAAGGUCUGCGGGGGCAUCUCUGCAAAAUAUUUGUGGCCUGGGUAGUGUUUUCUUCCAUGGAAUGUCAGAAUCACAGAGUAGCUGAGGCUGGUGAGCACCUCUGAAGAUUGCCUAGUCCAAUCUCUUGUUCAAGCAGAGUCAGCUAGAGCAGACUGGACCUUGUCCUGUUGGGUUUUGAAUAUCUCCAAGGAUGGAGACCCUACUAACUGACCAGAAAAUCUGUGCCAGGGUUUGAUCCCUCUCACAGCAGAACAGGUUUUUGUUAUGUUUCAGAAGGAACUGUCUGGAUUUCAGUUUGUGCCCCUUGCCUCUUGGCCUGUCACUGGGCACCAAUGAGAAGAAUCUGUGUCUGUCUCCUUUGCUCCAUUAGAUAUUGAUAAGGUCCCCUGAGCCUUUUCUCCUCCAGGCUGAUCUGUUCCAGCUCCCUCAGCCUCUCAUGGGGAAGAUGCUCCUGUCCCUUCAUAUCUCUGUCCUUUUGGAGGCUAUGGUUGCUGCAGCAUUGCAAAGGUCUUAAAUUACACAUAAAGCUGUAAACCCCCCCUUCUCUGUCCCCUUGAUGCCUCUUCAUCCAUUGUUCUUAAAACACAAGUGGUACGGGAGAGCCAAGAAAAAAAAUGCAAGUUCUUUGUAGGAACAACUUUGUAUCUAACGCUCAGAAAUUGAAGGUUUCAUUCCUGCUUCAUCCUUUAAAGUCAUGAUACGACAUUUAAGGUGAUGCUGCAAAAUUACAAAACAAGUGUUCCUGCCAAUGUAAAUAAAAGGGGAGAUAAAGCUGGAGAUGAUUUAUGUCUGUGGGAAGGAGAAGUUACUAUAGAUACCUGAAAGGAGAGCCAUGAAGCUUUAUUAACUGACAUAAAAAUAUCUCAUCAGGGAUAAAGCUCCCUGAUGUAAUAACAGUGAAAAAGAAAAAUUUAUUCUGAAGGUGGAACUAGUUCAACAUCUGAACAAUAUUUUCAAACUGUGAAAUACUCUCUGGGUAGUGAUUCUUCCUCUCAUUAGCCUUUUACUCAUUAUUCUUGCUAUUACUACCAUCAUCAAUGUCCCUAUUCAGAGGUAAACCUAUACUGAUAGUAAUUCCCAGACAUGUAAGAAAAGGAUUUAUGUGGAAAAAGGAGGAAUUAGGAAAAUCCUUUGGCAGCAAAUGUCUUUUUUUUUCUUAAAAAAUAGAAAAAAAGGAGAAUGGUGGAAUUACACUGUCAAACAACGACCUCAAACCUGGGCAAAGAUGGAGUAUAAUUUAUUUUGUGAAAUGCUAAUAAGUAAUAAGAUAGGUAAAAUAGAGAUUAGGAAUGUCUUUGAGAACAUUAAAUUAUGUUAUUAAGCCUUGAAUUAUCUCCUUGAAAUUUUUAGGAAAAGUGCAUAUGCAGUGUUGCCUAGCUUUUGGGUGCCUUAUAUCCUGGAAACAUAGAAUGUUCCAGCAUAGUCCUAUGCAUAAAAGUUUUCUUGGUUUUGUUUUUGUUUUGUUUGUUUUUUCACUAACUCAAACCUUAAAAAUUAUUUUUGCUUUAAGAAUUUUUUUCAGUUUAGCAGGUUAUACUGAGAGGAAUGUUUUUACUGCUAUUUUAUGAGUUCAUAAAAAAGUUUUAUAAGACAAUUUUGAACUAAAGCAUCUUCAAUAAAGCAUAAAGUAAUGACUUUUUAGGAUCAAAACUCUAUAAAUAAUAGCUACUUCUACAAUGCCGGUGAACAGGUUUAAUGUAUCAAGCGUGAACAUAAUCAUAAUACAGACCAGUCAGUAAAAGAAGGAGCCUUUUACUUUUUCAUGGUCAAAAAGUGUAAAUGUUGCUUUUUCAUAGCUUUUGACUUCUGCUUUCUCUCUGUUUAAGAGGAUAGGAAGCUGCAUUAUUAAUAAUUGAUCUUAGAAAAACAGAAAUAAAAUAUUUUUAGUUUAAAACCAAUACCUAUUUUCAGGUAGACUGUGUUUACCCAAUCACUUUUUGUGGUGAGUUUAACACAGAAGAUGGUAGAAUGCUUUUGAAGAUAAGAUGCUUAGAAAAUUAUCCCAAUUUCUAUUUGUAAUGCAACACUUGUGUUUCACGAAACUGCAUCAAGAAAAAUAUCCUUUACAAUUUUCUGAACAGAAACAAAGUAUGACAAAAGAUGCCCCAUCCCUGAAGUGUUCAAGGCCAGGUUGGAUGAGGUUCUGAGAAACCUGGCCAAGUGGAAGGUGUC
This is a long non-coding RNA of Corvus hawaiiensis (hawaiian crow), 3006 nucleotides long. RefSeq lists it as uncharacterized. The record is from RefSeq and is a predicted model, not a curated record. Lineage: Eukaryota; Metazoa; Chordata; Aves; Passeriformes; Corvidae. The transcript has 3 exons.